CAAUGAAUUGCCUAAAGUUCUUAAACAGUGCAGAUUCAGAACUGAAUAUUGCAAGUGAGGCAGUACAGCUAGAAAACAAGGGAUACAUAUUUGUCAAUUACAAUCAAUUGCCUAGAGUUCUUAAACUGUGCAGAUUCCGAACCUAAAUUUGCAAGUGAGGCAGUACAGCUAGAAAACAAGGGAUGACCAUCCUUAAAAGUGUGGGAGACUCGUAACAAUAUUUCCUUCGAAAAACAACUGCAGGAUAUGAACGAGAAGAAAGGGGGUAAA
Molecule: long non-coding RNA, 270 nt
Filed under: Dermacentor andersoni
Lineage: Eukaryota; Metazoa; Arthropoda; Arachnida; Ixodida; Ixodidae
Description: uncharacterized LOC126529894
Source: RNAcentral